CAGUAGCCGCGGUAAUACGAAGGGUGCAAGCGUUAACCGGAAUUACUGGGCGUAAGGCGUGCGUAGGCGGUUUGUUAAGUCUGUUGUGAAAUCCCCGGGCUCAACCUGGGAAUGGCAAUGGAUACUGGCAAGCUAGAGUGUGUCAGAGGAUGGUGGAAUUCCCGGUGUAGCAGUGAAAUGCGUAGAGAUGUGGAGGAACACCGAUGGCGAAGGCAGCCCCCUGGGCCAAUACUGGCGCUCAUGCACGAAAGCGUGGGGAGCAAACAGGAUUAGAUACCCCAGUAGUCCCUGUCUCUUAUAC
Molecule: ribosomal RNA, 301 nt
Filed under: uncultured bacterium
Lineage: Bacteria
Description: partial 16S ribosomal RNA
Rfam family: Bacterial small subunit ribosomal RNA
Source: RNAcentral